AGUCUCCCCGCGGCGGGGAAGCGGAUCGCGUGUGUGCCCGACCGUCCUCACGGCGCUGCAAACGAAUAUUUUUAGAUAACACUCGGGGAGUGCAAAUAGUAUAUUCGCGAGUAUAGUGAAAGCGCGCACUUUCGCGAGCGGCGGCGACCGGCCCGGGAGCCGCGUGUUUUUCGCGUUCAUAUUCGAACGGCGGCCGUCGCGCCGCCAGCUGAGACGUCCCGAUAGGUAAGCUGCGCACUUCCUGCUCGCGCCGCCAUGUUCGCUGGGGACGUCACUUCCGCCGGCGCCGGAACCGGCGGCCGGCCGCGCGGACCCCGCUGCGCCCGCGCCGGCUCGUCGCCGCUCCGUUCAGGUCAAUGAGCGACGGCUCUCGAUUCAUAAAAUGUCGGUCGUUCCAUUCACGCCGCGCGCGGCUCCGUCGCCGCUCACUCGUGACCCUCGCGUCUCGGAAUAUCCAUGUCUCCGGCGCGCCCCGGCUGGCCGCGCCGGAUGCGCGGGGCCGGACGAGGCCGGCCGGGAGCGCGAGUGCCGCCUGCCGCGCCGCGCACCCUGUGGACGAACUGUGAAUGUGUACUAAAGUGAAUCGACAAUGUGAUUAUCAGUUGCUAAUCAUGGAAUUUCUCAUCUAGGACCGUAAGAUUUGAGGGCUGCAAAGAACUACUGCUGUGAAACAUCAUUCAAGACUAGCUAAAACAGCAAAAAAUGAGGGGAAUGAUGUCAUGUCGGGAGCGCCGACGUACCCGGGCCAUUCAUAAACGAGUCUACGCUGUAUGUACUCGGGGCGAACGGAAGGGACUGGUUGGAUAGCGCACUUGGUCCA
This is a long non-coding RNA of Aricia agestis (brown argus), 820 nucleotides long. RefSeq lists it as uncharacterized. Lineage: Eukaryota; Metazoa; Arthropoda; Insecta; Lepidoptera; Lycaenidae. The transcript has 3 exons. The record is from RefSeq and is a predicted model, not a curated record.